CUCUCUUCCUUCUCCUUUGUGGUUUCAGGCCAGACCUAUCUAGAGAGUACAUACCUACCCUUAGUGGGAAUUGAUUAGCUACAGUCUCCAGAUGGGCAAAGCUUCAUGUUUCGGCCUGUGAGGAAAAGAGGACAGUAUAUACCAACUUCCACAGGAAGCAAGAACACCGGGAAACCAGACAAAGUCCACCGAUUUAUUAAAAGAACCUCUUGUUUCCACAACAUUCUAUGGAGUUAAGUCCAGGCUGAAAAGGAAGGCCCAUCCUCCCAGUAUGGCACAAAUGUGAACAAGCAGCCUCAAGGUCCUGAUGCCGCAGCUCCGAGCUUCCAAGAUGUCUGCCGUGAUUCCUCGGCCAUGACGAGUUGCAGCCUCCGAAAGCCUGAACUGAACCACAGUCUUCCUCUUUAGCGUUCCUUCGGCCGGGUAUUUGCUAUGGCAACCAGAGAAGUUUCCAGAACCUCAUGAGCCUUCCAACCUCGAAGUUCCCUGUAAGCAUAGAGGAGUAUUAACAACGCUUUAAAACCCGGCACGGAUUCCUGUUCCAGGCAAAAACUUGGCAAUUUCUUCUCAUGAAUCAUCUUCCAGUGGUGCUAUUCCACACCAGCAGAAGAAUUAUGUGAGGCCACAGUCUUGGCUGGCCUGUUCUCAAAGAAAACACACAGCCCCAAAUUCCAUGUGGUGUUUGAAUUGGCCCUCAGAUCCUGCACCCGGUCGGCCCGUGAAGCCGAGUGAAGACGGACUCUCAUGCGAAUGCUGUGGGGAUGUCUGUCUAGACUCAGCAGAAGGGAUGGCGCUGCCUAGAUGAUUGCAUCAUAAUACCCACCCCCAGAAUUCUGCUGUGCCCAUUCAUGGAGUGGAACAUGAGCCGAGCCUGUCCCACUUUUAACAAUUCAGCCAUCCAGCUAUUGUCUUCCCAGGUCUACUGCACACCAGAGGAAAGAAAGAGACAUCUAAGAGGUCGCAGUCAGCCAAGGGACACUGGGAAAAUACAGUAUGGACAAGUGGUGUCCCCAAGGCCAUGAGGAUUAGAAUGUGGAAAAUACCCAUCAACCUAACUCAGAUAAACACGGAAAAGGGGGCAUGACGCAGUCUCCAGCUUCAAGCCCUUUAUGUACACAUAGAAAAUACACAUCAGAACACACACACACACACACACACACACACAUGCACGCACACACACGCACACACACACAUUGAUCGUGCCAUGCUUUGCAGGACUUCGAUAAAGUUCAGACAAAGGAAAAUGGAAGACCAGCUACCUCAAAUGCCAUUCUCAGACUGGGUUCGGGGACACAUAAUUGUGAAUCCCAGAAUUCAGGAGGCCAAGGCAGGAGGCUCAGGAGACCGGGACCAGCCUGGUCUGCAUAGUGCAGCACCACUGAAGCAACAACAACCGAAGAUUCCCAUCACAGACAGGCACAGGAUGGAGCCAAGGCCAGCAGGUGGAAGUCGCAGAAGUUAGAUGAAUCUCACUGACACAUGGACACAUCCAAUUGUGAGGACUCCUAACCAGCCGGCUGUCUUUGCAACAAGCCGGAUCCGUGUGAGUAGAAACAUCCAAGUAGCGAACGAAGACUGUCUCGAAUGAAGUUGUAGAACUGAAGGGAAACUGCCCUCGACCCUUUGAAGAACUGCUAGUGUCAACCGAGAAGGAACAAGCGGGGAAGCACUAACCAUGAUUUGCAAACGAAGAACCCCUUUCGAUGGGCAGAGUGGGGGACGCGGAAAAUUUGUAGCAAAAUAGUAAACAGCUUUCAGGGAAAGUCAGGUGGUGUACAAUGGCGAGUGUUCUGUGGCCUGUGGCAGUCUAUUUGGCCUGGAUCUGAGACAAUGGUUUGGAAAAGCUUCUCUACGGACCAAACAAUGGCUGUGAUGAAAAGUCCACCCAGGUGUGUUUACCGAUCUCAGCCUAGCUUCCUGGGAUAUGAGCUGAGUUUUCUCUGGCUAAUGGAGCUGCGUGUGCAGCCUGAGGGGCACUCAGCUUCUCUGUGGGCAGAUGGGCUCCUUGGAUGGAAGUGAGGCCUUUGUGGAAAAUCUUUUUCUGCUAGAGAGGGGAGGAGACAAAGGAAGGUCAGGAGCCUAGACUCUGAGUUUAACAUCAGGCCUUUUAGAUUAAAUUGCUCGAUAUACCAAAGAUGCUGUAUUUGGAGAUAUCAGUCACCGUGUUCCGAUCUAAGAAAAAGUGAGAACGAACUGCACGGAAUUCAGUAAAUCUGAGGCGGGGCCCAAGAACCCGCAUUUGUUGUUGGCGCAGAGACAGACUCCAUAAGGACUGUUAAACUCUGCUCCUGGGCUAAGGUUUUAGGUGCCCUGGGAGCAAAUUAUCUACAUAACCAGAAGCAGAAGGGGGCUCCCCAGUAAAGAGUUGGGUGUGACAGUCCCUUUGGAAGUGUUAAUGUGGAUUCAGAACCAGAGGACUGGAUUUAACCUCUGCCUCUGAGGACAAUUCUGUCUUCAUAGAUGAUUAUCCCAGACACUUUUUCAAGGUCUGCUUUUUCCCCUUCCUCUUCAUCUCAGUUUGCUGGAAGUAUUCCUUUGGGUUCAGGUAGGGAAGCACAGGUGGGAGCGGGGACUAAAGUUAUGGCUGCCUUUCGUUCGUGUAGCAGUUAUAUACUUUCUGACUUUGAUGCCUUGAAACAAAACAGAGCAACAACCUGCUUCCUGAUAUGUGAUGAGGACUGUCACACCGCCUUACCUGAUGAUCUGUACUUGACCCUACACAGGGGGUGUAAAAUCACCUGAGCACAUGUGUCUGAGUCUCAUGGGCAGCUAUGAUGGGGAAUAAGGAGAGACGAGAGCAGUCUCACAAUACCUUGUACAGCGUAACUCUCUGCGAGCGCUCUGUUGCAGAUCAUUUCCUGUGGACAUCCUUGUGACUGAGCAGCUUAGCCUGUAGGACACGCAAGGCACUGUUUGGAGAAGGAACAUGACGCUGGGGACAGCAAACACCGUAUAAGAAAGAUUCAGGUCAUCCCUACUCUGUAACUAAAGCUUUCUUGGACUAUACGGAAGGGGGAAGGCAGAGGUGGGGAGGAAGGAAGGGAAAGGAGUCUUGAGUUUCACCAGGAAGCCAGAAAGGAGAAGAAAUAGUACAAACUAUGGUGUGGGGGGAUGGGCUCUGGGGAAGGUACCUAGGCCUGCCAGGGACUUUAGUCACUCCUGCCUCUGCCUCUCCUCUGAUUUCUUUCUCCAUAUCCAUCCUUUCUCUGCCUCUCUCGCCUACCUGCUCCCCUCUGGAGACCUAGAAAACACAUCAGUGGACCAAAAGAGCGAGGAGACAGACAGUAGGCUAAGAAGAACCUCUCAGCAGAGGUCUGGGGAUAAUGUGACAGUAUCCAGAGGAAGAUAACCCUGCCCUAGGAACACAUAUUUUAAGACUGUAUACCUCCUGUAGUAAAAAUGAAACCUGGCAGAAAGAGAAGUGUCCUGAUUUAGCAAGGAAUUGAUGUUUGUUUGUUUGGUUUUUUUUUCUUUUAAACGGCCGGAGCGAAUGUUACCAAAAUAAACAAAGAGAACAUUCCAAAACUAUAAUUUUUUUGUACUCUUUGCAUUUUAAUUUGGCUUUGCAGCUAUUACAAGAGGCCCAAGAGGAAAGCAACAGGUAAAAUUCUGGAGAGUACAGAGAUGAAUCCUAGAGAGCCGUCUUGUCUUUGAAACUGUGGCAAUGACAGGACACGUUCAGGGGACUCUUAGGGGUUCUGUUUGUGGCUGGCAUUCUUGGUCCUAGGCUCUUGUAUCUCCCAGAGACCUCGGACAUCUUAGAGGCCACAGGAAAAAUGCAAACUUAGUAACACCCAAAAGAUCUUGUCCCUCCCAUUCUACAAAUGGAUGUAAAGCAGCUCCUGUGUCCUGCCUACUCUAGAGAAGGAUGUAAAGUGAGUCCUAAGGCUAGAGAGAUGGCUCAGAGAUGUCACAAGAAGCAGGAGGACCUGAUUUCAGACUAGUGCAGCCAUGAAAAAGCUGAGCAUUGUGAGGGACUCCUAUAACCCCAGGGCUGGAGUGGAGGAAGGCCCAGUGAAGAGGCUCCUGGAGGCUCACUGGCUAGCUAGUCUAGCCAAUCAGUGAACUCCAGGUUCAGUGAGAGACCCUGUCUCAAAAUUAGAGAGUGAUAUAGGAAGAUGCUAGACAUUGACCUGUGACCCACACAUGCACACAUUGACCUGUGACCACACAUGCACACAUUGACCUGUGACCUACACAUGCAGACAUUAUUGAGUGCACAGUUAUUCUGCAUGCAUGCAGAAGUGGUUAUGAGCACCUCUCCACAAGGAGUUGCCAGCUGGUCGUAAGGGUUAAGUGGUUGGCCAGUGCCAUUGUUGCAGCUUCAGCAGGCCGUGGGCCCUCAGCCCCAGCUAAAAGGCUUUGAGCAACCUGAUCCAGGGAAGCCUCCAACAGACCAGCAAGUGAGAAGACUGGCUCCUGGGACACCUGCUGAUGUCAUUCUGUAACCCUGCAUGGCUCUUGUCACCUUCUGAUGUUCUCAGCAGCGAGAACAUUCCUGUUUCCUCACAAGACAGCCAGGAUCACCUGAGGACACUUCUUGCAAAGAUCCAGCUGGCCCCAUCGAAGUGUCACCUGAUCCUGUGUCCCUUUCAGGAGCGAUGGCCAUCUCUCCCACAGUAACAAUUACCCUGCAACUGAGCUUGUGAGGAGGGUGAGCAGAAUCCUUUUUUAAUCUACAAAGUAAUACCUCAACCCUUUGUCCUCUUUCAGAAAGGGAGAGGGUGACUAAUAUCCCAACAGUCUUUGUUGAUUCCGAAACUGCUGAAAAGAAACAAAUGCUUUGGAAUGAAAAUAGAAGUGUAAUGUGAAGCUGUCCCACACACAAACAAUCCAUCUGCAUGCAGAAAACAUGUCCCCAGCGUGACAUUCUGGGAAAGAGCAUCACAACACAGGGCUGGCUCAGAUCAUCUGCGCAUGACAUAAAUAUAGGUUUAUGGAAAAGCAAGCCAAGUCCCCUGUAAGUCACCUCUAAUCCCUUCCUAAGCUGUUAUUGAUAGUGUCUCCAAACCCCAGGCCUACCCUCAGUACAAUGGGCAACAUAUCAGAAGAAUAUAUAUGCUGUCUUCCUUCUCACAGAAAUGACAAUCUAAUGGAGGACUCACGGUAUUUGUCUAGAAGCAGCCAUUGGAGACCAACACAAAAUUUAUUAUAAUCAGGAAACACACUAAGAACAAUAGCUGAUGUGUCUGUCUUAAAGACUUACUAAGUGUCGAGUCCUUGACUAAAGUUUUCAGAUAAAUUGUCACACUAAAUCCUUGGGGAAAUGACCAAGAAUGGUUAUUAGUGUUUGAGAAGCCUGAACUCAGGUCCGGUAAACUUCAGUAAAAGAGAGCAUCCCCAAUGCAGAGAAUGCUCCCCACCCUCAAAUGUAGCUGGCUUCAUUCAAAGAAGGUGACCCUGGGUGCUAGAACAGUGGGAAACUGCCUUGUCACGGGCCUGAACACAGGCCUGACCUGAUGCCAACUCAAGACAAGACAGACGCAGCUGGACUCUGUCCAUGACCAUGUGUGGGAGUCAUGUGUCCUUGACAACUUGAGUUCUGGUCCCAGAUCUGCCUGACCGAGGCCUGGAAUGGUAGGUGACUUUCUCAGUGUCACAGUGAUUCCUUAACUAUGAAUGGUAGUUCUCAGAUAUUGUCCAGAAUUUGUCUUAUGUACAAGGGUCAGAGGAGGAUACAGUUUUAUAGCACACGAUACAACCCGGGCUCUUUUGGAAGCUUAUCUCCUUUAUAAGAAUUUCUCCUACUGACUGUGUGCUUUGAGUAUCAGAUUGGCACAGAGCUCAUACCCAAUACCCAAGUGAGCUAGAUGGGCACAUCUCCCCUGGCCGGUGUUCUCACUCUCCAUGUACUUCCACUUGAGGUCUUAAGCUAUCUUGAACUAACCCAGAUCCUGAGGAUGUAAGUAGAGUGUUUCAUCUCGAUCAUUCGAAACUGGCCCCUAAGAGCCAGUCCCUUCUCAGGGAGCUAAGAAGACAGGUGGGACCAGGAGAUAAUGAUGGAGUGGGAGGAAACUCUAAUCUUGUGGGCAGUAUAAAAGAUGUAAAUGAUGUAAACCCAGGGACCAAGGGUCCUUUUUCUGUAUCCCAUACUGGUUCAUUCAUUUAGUGGGACAAAGGUAUGUAGGGAACUUUCUGUUGGAUGUCUGAGUCAAAUUCCCAAACCAUCUAGAAUAUGACAAAGAUAUCGUCAGUUUAUCUUUACUGUCAACGUCUGCAUGAAUGUCCUGUUUUCCUCCCCUGCAGAAUCUGUGAGUUGAAAAUUGUGUGUCUCUCGCCUAUGGAUGAGGUGACAGGAAGCCGUGCAGUUUGUUCAAUGUCCAGUAGGAUGAGCAAUGCUGAGCCAAGGCUCAAACUCCCGUCCCACCUGAUUCCCAGCCUUUGUUUAGCUCUGCCUGCCAUCUGCUCUGAUGGGAAUGUGACUAUCAAGUCACAGUCUCCUCCUGUGAGUCACAAAGCACUUCCAGAAGGAAAAGACUCUGCUUUGGAGAAGCCACUCAUCCACACUGGGAGUUAUGCACACAUUGAUGUGUAGUCCACAACGUCUCUUAAGGGUUUCUUCAAGUCAAAUGACUACUGUCCCUAGCAACUACAAUGAUCCAGUAUAUAAAGGAUUUAAGCAAGGAUGAGAAAGCAAUUGUUUGGGAUCCACAGCUAUUAUUCCUAGGUAUGAUUUCUAUUCAAUUCUUACCCCAUAGACACCCACCAUUCUAGCACUGGUGAUUAGUGUGCCUCGCAUAGGACUUUCAAAGUUAGAACUGUAGUAUCUGUACAUGUGUCUCACUUCUGGGCUUAGCAUAUUUUUGAGCUGCUUCUCCACCAUUGCAGAUAUCAUGCAUAACAUUCUUUUUUGCAGGUGAGUGCUAACCCAACUUGUUCACCCUGUUGAUGAGUAUGUGAGUACUCUGACUUUUUUGGCUAUUACUAGUGAAGGCAGGAUAUUGUUUAUGGUCACACACUCUCCUUAGUGGGAUGCUAAGUCAAUGAGAAGGGGCCCAUGCAACCUGAAUACUUAAAUUCUGUCAAAGAGUUCUCCCCAGUGAUUUUUAGAGGGCCAGGGUCUUGAUUCUCUACAUCAUUGUCUACAUUUUGGUUUUUCAUUGUAUUUCUGGUGGCUUCACUGUUGUUCUGGUUUUCUUUUCCCUAACAGCUGAUGAAAUGAAACAUCUUUUCACAAUCUUAGCCGAAGAUUCACUGCCAUAUUUGUUGCUCCUACAGAUAGGAACCAGUCUUAUUUUAGGAUGCUAUUUGCAUAAUAAAUAGAAAAAGACCUUGGAGCCAGACUGAGGUCCAAAUCUUCAUUCUGCCACUUACUAUCCCCAAUGACUUUCCUCUGGAGUUCAUCCUCCUUUCCCCAUUCCCAUGUCCUUGUAAGGUGUCCUUCCUCCCCUCUCUCCCAUGCAGAGUUGAUUCCUCUAGAGAGAACAGGAAUCCUAAACUGAGACAACUGGAUCCUUCCCUGGGAAGUUUGAGAGAGAAGGGAGGAACGGUUGGAGGAGGACAGGAGAGGAUAGAAGGGGAAGGGAGGAACCAGAAGAAAGAAACCAGAAAAGGUGUUUCAGGUGCUAAAUCAAUAACAUUGACACUGAACACUUUAGGCACCCUUUGCUUUCAACAGAUGAACCACUAAAUUUGAAGGGAGCCAGUCUGCGCGUCAGAGGAGAAUUAUUCAGACGGCAGAAGAGAGUGCAAACAUGGACCUGACCAAGGGCACUGAAUGUUACUUUCCUUCUCUCUGGGGGGACAUCACAGGACUCAGUGGUGUGUGCUUCUGGGAAGGCUGAGUCUCUCAGCAUUUAAUCAGGAUCUUUCUGCCUCCAAAUACCAUGUGUCACUUCCUGGCUUGAAGCAGUGAAAAUCCCCUGUGAGAGUCUCCGGUCUCUCACUUCCCCUGCUGGGGCAAAUUCAUAAGUUUCACGUUGAGAUGACAGAUCCAACAGUACAGAAGCAGCUGAGUCUCUGAGUCACCACACAGAGGACAGCUGUCCUGGAGAGCCAUGCAGACCCGAGGGCUAGGAGAAAUAGCGUUUAUUGUCUUAUGCCAUGGAGAUCUUGAAAUUGUCAUAACUUAGUUCGUCCUUGUUCAUAGCCUGUCUGAGCCUUAGUUCCCUCUUGGAUAAAAUGGGGUAAGUUUGUUAUUUGUGCAUGAAGUAAUGUUGACUUUGAGGUACUUUCCAUGACACCUACACAGAGAAGUAUUAUGAAGAAGCAUAAUUUCUUCUCCUUAAGCAUGUACGAUCUCCUGGCCUAGUGUGUUCUAGUACAGCCUAUGUCUACCAGUAGGAUCUAGCCAUUGCACAUACAGUGUCAUGGGUCAUGCAUUCACAGUAUUUGGAGAGAUUUGCAGCCAUGUCUAGAGGGAUCUGUGUGGAUGAGUGUGACUUGUCCUUGUCAGGGGACACACAAAGGACUGAGGGUGAUGCAGGGCUGUAGACUGAUUUGUCCUACUGCCAGAAACUACAGAGCUCAUUUUGUUCGCAGGGAGCAGGGCCAAGCACCCAGGGCUCUGUGGGAUGCUCUCCUCUUCCUCUUUGUUAUGACAGAUGGACAGUGACCCACAAGCCAGCCCUGGGGAGAAAAGAGUUUGCCUUGCCAGCUGGUCCUGAAAAAGAAAGCAAAGAAAAUAUGCUGGAAUAUGCUGGAGGCACCAAGGUUAGCUUUGGACAUCCUUCCUACACCUCAUGUAUGCAUGUCUUGUCAAACUGGACUCUGUUCAAACUGGACUCUGUGCACCUCCACUCCAGUGUGCCUGUGUGCAUGCGAGCAUGUGUGUGCCUUGCAGAAAGUCUUAUUGGGGCUCAGCAAAAAUGAGUUCAUUGUCAUUCUUUCCUACAAUUCUGUUUGGCGUUUACCACACUUGGUGUUUACAGUUAGAAAGGACUCCCACUAUGGCCAACACUUCACUCUCCAAAUUAACACAUUUACCCAGCCAAAAAGGACACAGUCAAGGGAAAAGGAUUAGAAACUGAGGUCAGUGUCAUUUUACAAGCUGAAAUGACUAUGUUAUUCUGUAAUCAUCAACUGGGCCCAACAGAGAACAACUCUCUGAUGACAGUUCUUCGAAUGAACAGAGGGAAGUUUCCACAUUUACUGGUAUCUGAGGCCUCAGGCUGGUUGAUGUACCUUCAGAAAACACAACUCCUUCCCGGCAGAAAGAAGGUUCUGUGGCCUUGAAGAGUCUCCAGGAAGCCCUUACAGGCUUGCUUCAAGCUGGUUUUGCCUGUGAGAUAGGACAGGUUCAAAUGAGCCAAGAGAAUAAGAAAUGACUCAUCUGCCUCCUUAUCUAUGUGUCUUCAAGCUCCGGUCUACUAAAUGACCGUUUUCAGUUUUACAUUCCUUCCUCUGAGCAUUUCCGUGGGUGGGGAAAAGGGCAGAUUUUCUAGAAAUGUAUUUUGUCUAUUGAGAGCCCCAAAAUCUGAGUCUAGGGCCAGAAAUAUAUAUGUGUGUUAUACAUAAGCUUCCUUAAAAGAAGCCAGAACUCUGUGUAUCUUUGGGAUUGAACUGAAACCAACUUUCCACAGAAUUUGAGUAUCUGUUGGUGGUUGAGAUGGCAUGAGACCCCAUUUCCUUCCUCCUGCAGCAUCUGCAUGCUCUAUCAACUGUGUGUGUACAUGGAAUCAUAAUGAUGCUCUAAGGAUCUCCCAUCUCAUGAAAGACAGACAGGACCACACUCCUUGCAAUCUACAGUUGCACCUCCAAGGGGCCUUUUGAAACUGCAACGAAACCAAGUUCUUUGCAUGAAUCUUUGGCUGUGCAUAGUUAGGUAGUGGGAGACUACUAUACGGCUAGAUCUAUAAUGUUGUCCAAGCAGCCUGUGUUUCAGGUUUGUGUCCCAGCCUGGCAGUCUUGGCGAGAAGGCAGUAAAAACCUUUAUGAACUGUGACCUAAUAGGAAGGCAUAAGUCUUUGGCAUGUGCCCUCAACAUGUAUCAUGGCACCAAAAUCUCCUCCUCUUCUUUGCAACCAGUCAUGAGGUGAGCAGCUUGAUUCCGUCACACAACACCACCAUGAUGAGUUGUUUCACCCCAGCCCCAAAGCAACAAGAACCAUCAAUCAUGGGCUAAAACCACCAAAACAAACCUUUUCUCUUUGUAUGUUGACUAUCCUAAAUGUCUGGUAUAGUAACUGAAAACAAGCUAAUAAAGGAUAAUUAAAUGAUAUGCUAUAUUAAAA
Non-coding RNA from Rattus norvegicus (Norway rat), 10172 nucleotides. The record is from RefSeq and is a predicted model, not a curated record. NCBI's taxonomy places the organism in Eukaryota, Metazoa, Chordata, Mammalia, Rodentia, Muridae.